CCUACGGGGUGCUGCAGUAGGGAAUCUUUCACAAUGGGCGAAAGCCUGAUGGAGCAACGCCGCGUGCAGGAUGAAGGCCUUCGGGUUGUAAACUGCUUUUAUAAGCGAGAAAUAUGAUGGUAACUUAUGAAUAAGAAUCGGCUAACUACGUGCCAGCAGCCGCGGUCAUACUUAGGAUCCGAGCAUUAUCAGGAGUGACUGGGGUUAAAGAGUUGCGUAGGUGGCAUAAUAAGUAGCUAGUGAAAUCUGGUGGCUCAACCAUUCAGACUAUUAGCUAAACUGUUAAGCUCGAGACCGUUAGGGGUAAAUGGAAUUUCUAGUGUAGGAGUGAAAUCCGUAGAUAUUAGAAGGAACACCAAUAGCGUAGGCAGGUUGCUGGGACGGUUCUGACACUAAGGCACGAAAGCGUAGGGAGCAAACGGGAUUAGAUACCCUGGUAGUC
This 442-nucleotide ribosomal RNA is filed under the name uncultured bacterium. RNAcentral's name for it is "partial 16S ribosomal RNA". It matches the Rfam family "Bacterial small subunit ribosomal RNA", at positions 338 to 795 of the family's 1533-position model. The record is from RNAcentral.